Molecule: ribosomal RNA, 389 nt
Filed under: uncultured bacterium
Lineage: Bacteria
Description: bacterial SSU rRNA
Rfam family: Bacterial small subunit ribosomal RNA
Source: RNAcentral
AUUGAACGCUGGCGGAAUGCUUUACACAUGCAAGUCGAGCGGCAGCGCGGGGGCAACCUGGCGGCGAGCGGCGAACGGGUGAGUAAUGCAUCGGAACGUACCCCGUCGUGGGGGAUAACUACCCGAAAGGGGUAGCUAAUACCGCAUACGACCUGAGGGUGAAAAGCGGGGGACCGAAAGGCCUCGCGCGAUGGGGAGCGGCCGAUGCCGGAUUAGCUAGUUGGUAGGGUAAAGGCCUACCAAGGCGACGAUCCGUAGCUGGUCUGAGAGGACGACCAGCCACACUGGAACUGAGACACGGUCCAGACUCCUACGGGAGGCAGCAGUGGGGAAUUUUGGACAAUGGGCGAAAGCCUGAUCCAGCCAUUCCGCGUGAGUGAAGAAGGCCU